CUUUGGAAAUAUGUUACUGAAUCUCUGAGGUGCUGCUGGAAGAAAACUGUGUAUCUGUAGUAGAACCAGCAUCUCAUGUCACGACCUAUGUUCUACAUAAUCAUCUGUUCAAUGCCAGAGACGGGCGAUAUUAGAACACUAUUCCGAAAUGUUGUUAUCUAUUUAUGGAGGCUACGAGUCGUUCCAAAGUAAAUUGAAUCGAACAUCUCAAUUUUCCAUCGUAUUGUUGUCGAUCAAAGAGAAGGCCCCAGAUCAUAUUUAGACGUGUUUACUGUGCGAGCAAAUAGAUUGGGAAGCAAUCUGGGCUAGGCGCACUACUGGAGCCCUUUAAUCAUUACAGCUCCCAUUCAACAGUGCUUAAUGUUAAGGUAUACAACGUAAUAUUGUGUCACGAUGUAGCUUAAACCUUGCUAGUUAAAAAAUAUGCUAAUAUUGGUAGUGAUAUGUCACCCAUGAGACAAUUGCAGCAGAAACGGUAAAAAUUCCGGGAAGCUGAAUUGAAGUCAUAUUUCGAAAAAGUUAGAUAGUCAUCAUCGGCACAACUUGCAUCAAGAAAAGAGAUUUUCAGAUUACCAGCAUGUUGCAGCCCAACUCAUCUUUGUAAAAUCAGUUAUUAAAAACGGUUCUGAGUGAAAGCGCGUUCCGUUUGCACCCUGAAGUGGUCAUCUUUGUUACAAGUGAUUUACAAGUUGCUAAACCCGCGCUGGUUCAAAGUAGACUUGUUUGAGGAGCUGCGACAAAAUAAUAAUCAAAUAAAAUUAAAUGAAAUUUUAGCGAAAAGUUACAGAUAAGUUUUGUCCUCAUGAUUCGCGCAAAUCGCACAUUGGUCACUACAGGUUAAAGUUUAAUGUUUGUGAUAUUUUCUUCUUUUUAUUUAAAUUUAAUGCGAAUUCGUCUGAUACAAUCACUGAAAAAUUUCCUUUAGGAUCGCGAGCGGUGAAAGUGUGAAUGAUCCGCGAUUGUGCAAACUCAGCAGUCUCUUGUAGGAUUCGGGAUGAUCUAAAACGGUCGGUAAGGCUAAUCGACGCUACUAAUCAAGAGCUCACUAGUAAUUGUGGAAGUGAUAACAUGUUACUCCAGUGCAUUACAUAAAUCUGUGAAGCUUGAAAACAAGUCCCAGAUUAGAGUACGCGAAGAAGUCCCACAAUAACACAGGCCGCAUCACAUUCCAAAUGUUAUGAAAGAGUCACAGUGAUCCUGUAAACAAAGUUCAAUGUGGUGAUGUCAAUGAAGAAUUGUGUAAAUAGCAACGAGUAAAUCGAAAAAAGUGUUUCUAGUUUAAAUGUUGUGAGGAGAAGCGGCGGAAAAAUGCCAAAUAGUGGAAAUGAAGUUGUUCAAGAUCAUCGAAUAUUAUCUGAAUGGUCCAUGGCUGGUCCAGAUAAUCAGAGCGAACCAAUCCAAUUGCCAAUUGAUAUGCGCUUCAAUGAUGGCCAUCGAUUGUCGAUAACAGUUUACAGUGUUCUGAUGGUCAUCUCAUCAAUUGGAAAUAUUACGGUUUUGGUGCUACUCAUCAAAAGAAGAUUGCGUGGUCCUUCGAGAAUAGACAUAAUGUUAAUGCAUUUAGCUAUAGCCGAUCUACUAGUCACAUUUCUAAUGAUGCCAAUGGAAAUUGGCUGGGCGUACACGGUGUCCUGGAAAGCGGGGGAUGCCUUAUGCCGGAUCAUGGCCUUCUUUCGAACAUUCGGAUUGUAUCUAUCGAGUUUCGUCCUCGUAUGUAUAUCCGUUGAUAGAUACUUUGCGGUUCUGAAGCCACUCAAACUGUCAGAUAACCGGGGUCGUAUGAUGAUUCUUGGCGCGUGGCUCAGCUCCUGCAUAUGUAGUACGCCUCAAGCGAUAAUCUUUCAUCUGGAACAGCACCCCAACGUGACGUGGUACGAACAAUGCGUCACAUAUAACUUUUUCAGUAACGAGAUGCAUUACAUUAUCUAUUCCGUGAUGGGCAUGGUAUUCAUGUAUGCGCUGCCACUGAUUAUUAUCAUAUUUUGUUAUGCAUCGAUUUACAUAGAAAUUUAUAGGAAGAGUAAAAAAGUGAUAACAGAACGGUUUCGGCGGUCCAACGACGAUGUCCUGGGGCGAGCUAAGAGAAGAACACUUAAAAUGACCAUCACUAUUGUGAUAGUGUUUAUCGUGUGCUGGACACCAUUUUACGUCAUGUCUAUUUGGUACUGGUUGGAUCACGAAACGGCACUAAAAGUUGACCAACGGAUACAGAAAGGUCUAUUUCUUUUUGCCUGCACUAACUCUUGUAUGAAUCCAAUUGUCUACGGGGCUUACAACAUCAGGCGGAAAGGAGAUAAAUUGAACACGACUAUAAAUAAUCGAAGGACAUCUUUGGCGAAGCGAAUUGAGAGCAGAAAUUCUUCCGGCUCCUUACCGCCUUCAACUAACAAUGUACGAAGGACAAUUUGUAUGAGAUAUGACUAAGGAAAAAAGAAUUCAACGGUAGAAUUAAAACGACCACAGAAUAGAAUUAAAGGAAUGUAUGAUUUAACAACGAAGGAUGGCUAAUGGGGACUCUUAUUUAAAAUUCACUUAGGUUGUAGCACGAUACGUUGCGGCGAUUCUGUUGAGCUACCUAACUUAAGGACACAUAAUCUUUAUCACUAAGCACCAUCCUAGGACCAUAGACGCUAGCAGUAAGAGAAGAAAUCACUUAGCAAAGGAACAACUGUACACGAAGAUGCUCAAAGGAGUCGAGGCUUAUUCUUCCUUGUAUCCUGGUUGUGUAUAAUUUUUUAAACAUACAUAUAUUUAAUUAUUUUUAUAUAAAUUUAUAUUUUACGCUUAAAUGAAUUUGGAGAGAACUAAAUGAUCAUAACGAUAAGGCAUGAAUCACAAAAAAACAAGAUCACAAACUACUGAAUUGAAAAAUUAUGUACCUAUCACCUUUGUAAGGCUCAAUGUGAAAAAUAAUAAAAAAGACAAAGACUUACA
RNAcentral lists this unclassified non-coding RNA (2934 nucleotides) under Hermetia illucens (black soldier fly). RNAcentral describes it as "gonadotropin-releasing hormone receptor, transcript variant X7". The record is from RNAcentral. Lineage: Eukaryota; Metazoa; Arthropoda; Insecta; Diptera; Stratiomyidae.